GUAAAAAGCCGAAUCCGGGAAUCGGAGCGGGGGAACCAUAAUUAUUGGGAAGCGCAAUCGGGCGCGUUCUUUUGGGGUGAAUGCGUUGUUCCCGUUUGGGGGAAAUUUGCAGGGGCAGCUUCUCUGUCCUAACCCGGCAGCUAACCUCGCAGGCGCAAGAGAGAGGAG
RNAcentral lists this small RNA (168 nucleotides) under bovine gut metagenome. RNAcentral's name for it is "ydaO/yuaA leader". It matches the Rfam family "c-di-AMP riboswitch aptamer (ydaO/yuaA leader)". From Rfam's summary of the family: This family represents a conserved RNA structure found upstream of the ydaO and yuaA genes in Bacillus subtilis and related genes in other bacteria. The ydaO/yuaA element is thought to act as a genetic "off" switch for the ydaO and yuaA genes in its native state. The record is from RNAcentral.